RNAcentral lists this ribosomal RNA (412 nucleotides) under uncultured bacterium. RNAcentral's name for it is "bacterial SSU rRNA". It matches the Rfam family "Bacterial small subunit ribosomal RNA", at positions 28 to 419 of the family's 1533-position model. The record is from RNAcentral.
AACGAACGCUGGCGGCGUGGAUUAGGCAUGCAAGUCGAACGGGAUCCAAACCUGUAGCAAUACAGGGUUGGUGAGAGUGGCGGAAGGGUGAGUAACGCGUGGGCAAUUUGCCUCUUAGUUAGGGAUAGCCUCCCGAAAGGGUGGAUAAUACCGGAUAUGGUCGUGCCGCGCAUGCGGCACUAUCCAAAGGCGGGGAUCUUCGGACCUGCCGCUAGGAGAUGAGCCCGCGUCCCAUCAGCUAGUUGGUAGGGUAACGGCCUACCAAGGCGAGAACGGUAGCUGGUCUGAGAGGGCGACCGGCCACACUGGGACUGAGACACGGCCCAGACUCCUACGGGAGGCAGCAGUGGGGAAUCUUGCGCAAUGGGCGAAAGCCUGACGCAGCGACGCCGCGUGAGGGAUGACGGCCUGG